AGACGAACCGGACAAACGUUGUUCGGAAUCACUGGGCUUAAAGGGUGCGUAGGCGGCCAGGUAGGUCAGAUGUGAAAUCCCACGGCUCAACCGUGGAAUUGCGUUUGAAACCACUUGGCUUGAGUAAGAUAGAGGUAAGCGGAACUGAUGGUGGAGCGGUGAAAUGCGUUGAUAUCAUCAGGAACACCGGUGGCGAAAGCGGCUUACUGGGUCUUUACUGACGCUGAGGCACGAAAGCUAGGAGAGCGAACGGGAUUAGAAACCCCUGUAGUCC
RNAcentral lists this ribosomal RNA (274 nucleotides) under uncultured bacterium. Its description in RNAcentral is "partial 16S ribosomal RNA". It matches the Rfam family "Bacterial small subunit ribosomal RNA", at positions 523 to 796 of the family's 1533-position model. The record is from RNAcentral.